This 492-nucleotide ribosomal RNA is filed under the name uncultured bacterium. RNAcentral's name for it is "partial 16S ribosomal RNA". It matches the Rfam family "Bacterial small subunit ribosomal RNA", at positions 29 to 507 of the family's 1533-position model. The record is from RNAcentral.
AGUGAACGCUGGCGGUAGGCCUAACACAUGCAAGUCGAACGGCAGCACAGUAAGAGCUUGCUCUUACGGGUGGCGAGUGGCGGUCGGGUGAGGAAUACAUCGGAAUCUACUUUUUCGUGGGGGAUAACGUAGGGAAACUUACGCUAAUACCGCAUACGACCUACUGGUGAAAGCAGGGGAUCUUCGGACCUUGCGCGAUUGAAUGAGCCGAUGUCGGAUUAGCUAGUUGGCGGGGUAAAGGCCCACCAAGGCGACGAUCCGUAGCUGGUCUGAGAGGAUGAUCAGGCACACUGGAACUGAGAAACGGUCCAGACUAAUACGGGAGGCAGCAGUGGGGAAUAUUAGACAAUGGGCGCAAGCCUGAUCCAGCCAUACCGCGUGGGUGAAGAAGGCCUUCGGGUUGUAAAGCCCUUUUGUUGGGAAAGAAAAGCAGCAGGUUAAUACCCCGCUGUUCUGACGGUACCCAAAGAAUAAGCACCGGCUAACUUCGUG